Pristis pectinata (smalltooth sawfish) is the source of this 373-nucleotide long non-coding RNA. RefSeq lists it as uncharacterized. The record is from RefSeq and is a predicted model, not a curated record. NCBI's taxonomy places the organism in Eukaryota, Metazoa, Chordata, Chondrichthyes, Rhinopristiformes, Pristidae. The transcript is spliced from 3 exons.
AAAGGCUUCCUUGUAGCUUAGAUCCUUAACCAACAAUUAAGAAAGGAAACUUCAUUACAUAGGAUUAAGCUGGGUUUAAACUCUAGUUUCCGAGCCAAAAAUCGUCUUUUUAAUUGAUUGUUAUUCAGUCUAUCAUCCAUCAGCAAACCUCAUCUUUGAAAGAAGAAUUUGUUUGGAAUCGCCCUUGAACUCAAUGGAGUUUCCUGAUCCUACACAAUUCCCUGAAUAAUGCUGGAGAAUCCCAACAAGAUUGGCCACUGCCAAUGGACUCCAUGUGGAGUUCAGUUGCAGAGUGUAAUGACAGGUGCAGCACCAUCUGUCUCUUGAGUCAUAGAGCUGAACACCACGGAAACAGGCCCAACACAUCCAUGCU